This 429-nucleotide ribosomal RNA is filed under the name Chloroflexota bacterium. Its description in RNAcentral is "Chloroflexi bacterium partial 16S ribosomal RNA". It matches the Rfam family "Bacterial small subunit ribosomal RNA", at positions 355 to 776 of the family's 1533-position model. The record is from RNAcentral. Lineage: Bacteria; Bacillati; Chloroflexota.
UGGGGAAUAUUGCACAAUGGGCGCAAGCCUGAUGCAGCCAUGCCGCGUGUAUGAAGAAGGCCUUCGGGUUGUAAAGUACUUUCAGCGGGGAGGAAGGGAGUAAAGUUAAUACCUUUGCUCAUGGACGUUACCCGCAGAAGAAGCACCGGCUAACUCCGUGCCAGCAGCCGCGGUAAUACGGAGGGUGCAAGCGUUAAUCGGAAUUACUGGGCGUAAAGCGCACGCAGGCGGUUUGUUAAGUCAGAUGUGAAAUCCCCGGGCUCAACCUGGGAACUGCAUCUGAUACUGGCAAGCUUGAGUCUCGUAGAGGGGGGUAGAAUUCCAGGUGUAGCGGUGAAAUGCGUAGAGAUCUGGAGGAAUACCGGUGGCGAAGGCGGCCCCCUGGACGAAGACUGACGCUCAGGUGCGAAAGCGUGGGGAGCAAACAGG